Molecule: ribosomal RNA, 460 nt
Filed under: uncultured bacterium
Lineage: Bacteria
Description: partial 16S ribosomal RNA
Rfam family: Bacterial small subunit ribosomal RNA
Source: RNAcentral
CCUACGGGGGGCAGCAGUGAGGAAUAUUGGUCAAUGGGCGAGAGCCUGAACCAGCCACGUCGCGUGAAGGAUGAAGGAUCUAUGGUUUGUACACUUCUUUUCUAUGGGAAUAAAGUGAGGAACGUGUUCCUUUUUGUAUGUACCAUAUGCAUAAGCAUAGGCUAACUCCGUGCCAGAAGCCGCGGUAAUACGGAGGAUGCGAGCGUUACCCGGAUUUAUUGGGUUUAACGGGUGCGUAGGUGGUUAAUUAAGUCAUCGGUGAAAGUUAUUGGCUCAACAAUAAAAUUGCCGUUGAAACUGGUUGACUUGAGUAUAUUUGAGGUAGGCGGAAUGCGUGGUGUAGCGGUGAAAUGCAUAGAGAUCACGCAGAACUCCGAUUGCGAAGGCAGCUUACUAAACUAUAACUGACACUGAAGCACGAAAGCGUGGGGAUCAAACAGGAUUAGAUACCCUAGUAGUC